GUCCACGCCGUAAACGAUGUCAACUAGCCGUUGGGUUCCUUGAGGACUUAGUGGCGCAGCUAACGCAUUAAGUUGACCGCCUGGGGAGUACGGCCGCAAGGUUAAACUCAAAUGAAUUGACGGGGCCCGCACAAGCGGUGGAGCAUGUGGUUUAAUUCGAAGCAACGCGAAGAACCUUACCAGGCCUUGACAUCUACAGAACUUCCCAGAGAUGGGUUGGUGCCUUCGGGAACUGUAAGACAGGUGCUGCAUGGCUGUCGU
Molecule: ribosomal RNA, 261 nt
Filed under: uncultured bacterium
Lineage: Bacteria
Description: partial 16S ribosomal RNA
Rfam family: Bacterial small subunit ribosomal RNA
Source: RNAcentral